AUUGAACGCUGGCGGCAUGCUUUACACAUGCAAGUAGAACGGUAACAGGGUGCUUGCACCGCUGACGAGUGGCGAACGGGUGAGUAAUGCGUCGGAACGUGCCGAGUAGUGGGGGAUAACGCAGCGAAAGUUGUGCUAAUAACGCAUACGAUCUAUGGAUGAAAGCGGGGGACCGUAAGGCCUCGCGCGAUUGGAGCGGCCGAUGUCAGAUUAGGUAGUUGGUGGGGUAAAGGCUUACAAAGCCGACUAUCUGUAGAUGGUCUGAGAGGACGACCAACAACACUGGGACUGAGACACGGUCCAGACUCCUACGAGAGACAGCAGUGUGGAAUUUUGGGCAUUGGGCGAAAGCCUGAUCCAGCAAUGCCGCGUACAGGAAGAAGUCUUUCGGGUUGUAAACUGCUUUUGUACGGAACGAAACGGCCUGGGUUAAUACCCUGGGCUAAUGACGGUACCGUAAGAAUAAGCACCGGCUAACUACGUGCCAGCCGCCGCCGUAA
RNAcentral lists this ribosomal RNA (500 nucleotides) under uncultured bacterium. RNAcentral's name for it is "partial 16S ribosomal RNA". It matches the Rfam family "Bacterial small subunit ribosomal RNA", at positions 30 to 523 of the family's 1533-position model. The record is from RNAcentral.